This 347-nucleotide unclassified non-coding RNA is filed under the name soil metagenome. RNAcentral's name for it is "partial contains 5.8S ribosomal RNA, internal transcribed spacer 2, and large subunit ribosomal RNA". The stretch from base 1 to 120 matches the Rfam family "5.8S ribosomal RNA", at positions 35 to 154 of the family's 154-position model. The record is from RNAcentral.
GAUGAAGAACGCAGUAAAAUGCGAUAAUUAAUGUGAAUUGCAGAAUUCAGUGAAUCAUCGAGUCUUUGAACGCACAUUGCGCCCCCUGGUAUUCCGGGGGGCAUGCCUGUCCGAGCGUCAUUGCUGCCCUCAAGCACGGCGUGUGUGUUGGGCUUCCGUCCCUGGCAACGGGGACGGGCCCAAAAGGCAGUGGCGGCACCAUGUCUGGUCCUCGAGCGUAUGGGGCUUUGUCACCCGCUCCCGUAGGUCCAGCUGGCAGCUAGCCUCGCAACCAAUCUUUUUAACCAGGUUGACCUCGGAUCAGGUAGGGAUACCCGCUGAACUUAAGCAUAUCAAUAAGCGGAGGA